Thalassophryne amazonica is the source of this 109-nucleotide long non-coding RNA. RefSeq lists it as uncharacterized. NCBI's taxonomy places the organism in Eukaryota, Metazoa, Chordata, Actinopteri, Batrachoidiformes, Batrachoididae. The transcript has 3 exons. The record is from RefSeq and is a predicted model, not a curated record.
CUCUCUCUGUAUCUCAGGGGUCUGCAACCCACGGCUCUUUAACCCCUCCGCAGUGGCUCCCUGUACCUUAAAGACUCCGUGUCCGUGAAUGUUUCUUUUCAUCCUGUGU